Molecule: ribosomal RNA, 230 nt
Filed under: uncultured bacterium
Lineage: Bacteria
Description: partial 16S ribosomal RNA
Rfam family: Bacterial small subunit ribosomal RNA
Source: RNAcentral
UACGAAGGGGGCGAGCGUUGUUCGGAUUUACUGGGCGUAAAGGGCGCGCAGGCGGCUCAUUUUGUCAGGCGUGAAAGCCCCGGGCUUAACCUGGGAACUGCGUUUGAUACGGAUGGGCUAGAGUUCGGGAGAGGAGAGUGGAAUUCCCAGUGUAGAGGUGAAAUUCGUAGAUAUUGGGAAGAACACCGGUGGCGAAGGCGGCUCUCUGGACCGAUACUGACGCUGAGGCG